This is a long non-coding RNA of Vombatus ursinus (common wombat), 1026 nucleotides long. RefSeq lists it as uncharacterized. Lineage: Eukaryota; Metazoa; Chordata; Mammalia; Diprotodontia; Vombatidae. The transcript is spliced from 4 exons. The record is from RefSeq and is a predicted model, not a curated record.
GUCUGUCAGCUUGUCAUGUGCACCACAUCUAUUGGAAACCACUUUUCAAGUUUCUGUUUCUCCAUGAAUCACAAUGACCUCUGGGCCAAGAGGAAAAAUAAUAAUUCAGAGAAACAAGAGAAUGAGGUGAGCAGCUUCUGGAACAUCAGGAUUGCUGUUCCCAUCAGUUGUUUGGUCCCCAAGGAGAUCCUCAAUGACUCUGAAUCCAAAGGAACUAAUAUUCUAGCAACAGCAUAUGUUUUCAGGAGUUUGGAACUUUGUAGAAGAAUGAAGAGAGAAGAAAGAAGAAGUGGUUGUCAUCCCAUGGCAGCAGCAUGGCUGGGGCAGCAGUAGCUGGUGUCUGCCACAUCUGCAAUUCCCUUAUUUAAUAUCAUGAGAGGUCACAGUAAAAGCACCUUCCACAGAGAUACAAAGCCCCCUCUUCCAAGAGAGUGAAGGAUUGGGACAUGAGAAGGAAAUGAACAGGAAGCACAAUGCCCUGGAGAAUGGGAAUUACUCUCUAUGACUUGUAAUUGAUCAAAUGUUUCUUCAUCAAUGUUCUGGAAUCGUGGAUGGCCAUUGUAAGGAUCAUAGUUCUUAUAGCUGUCAAAGUUGUUUGUUUUUGCAGUGUUGUUGAUAUUGUAUAAAUUGUUCUCCUGCUUCUGCUCAUUACAUCACUCAUCAGUUUACAAACUUUUCUCCACCAGCAACACAACUUGGCUUUUAUUCCACUGAAUAUCAUGCCCUGCCCAGGAUAGGCUGAUCACUGGAAAUCUCAUCACCACACCACGGAUUUUGAUAUUCAGCCCCUUCUCAACUUAAUCUCAAUUGCUUCUUCUCUUUGAUUGAAGGGCAGAACAUUAAACUCUUCCCAAAGCCUUCCUUUAUAGGGGGUUUCCGACCUUUCUCCAUUUUCCAUCAGCAGCUCUGUUUGGCUUUGAGUCACUGAAACACAGUGCCCUUGAUUCAGUACCCCACUUUUCAGCUUCCUUUUGUAUAUUGUCCUCCAUUAGAUUGUAAACUCCUUGAGGGCAGGGAUUGUCUCAU